AACCAAUUGAAGAAAGAGUAGAUGGAUGGAUUAGAGGAGGAAGAAGAUUUGAAUUUAGAACCAGAAUUGGUAGAACCCACAUUAGAUAAUGUAGGAAAUGAUCAAUUGGAUGGAUCAGAGGAAAUAGUAACUUUGUAGAAUUUUGUUAAGUAGUUUUUAGAUAGGUAAUAAUUGUAUGUUAGCAAGGAUGCUGCACAAAUUGGAGUGGGGCUGUGUAGAAUAGAUAUAAGUUCGUUUCUGUAAGAUAUUGGUAAAAUAGACUAAUAGUCCAUAGAAUAGUCAGUUCAGGAGGAUGGAUGGUUAACUUAAUUAUUAAAAGCAAGUAAUUAUAGGAUUACGGUUAGAAUUUGGAAAUAAAAAGUAAGUAUAUAGGAGUUAUAGAAGUUAGUAUGAGUGCCAGACUGUGAUAGUCAUGAGCCAAGAUAAGCUUGGUGCUACCUCUUUGUCUCUUUAUUUUUUUUUGUUGUUGAAGAGUAAUGGAUAGUUUUUGAAUACUAAAAAGUGAGUCUGUGGAAUAAAUCAGAGAUUGAUUUGUGAGUUAUUAAUUAUAUAAAUGGAGUACUAAGUAAUUAAAUUAUAUGAUGAGUUAUUAGAAGAUUAUGAUUGUUUUUUAUUGAGAGCUAUGUGUAUUUUGGACAAAGAAAGUUGGUGAUUAUAGAAAUUAUGUGAAUUCAGAUUGGUUGGAGUGAAGUCUGUUAAUUCUGGUGUUGGAUAGAAAUUAUGUGUUUUGAGGGAUCUUUUGAGAGUGCAGGGUUGCACACUAUUGUU
This 768-nucleotide long non-coding RNA is filed under the name Physcomitrium patens. Its description in RNAcentral is "long non-coding RNA (PPAT_LNC007297)". Lineage: Eukaryota; Viridiplantae; Streptophyta; Bryopsida; Funariales; Funariaceae. The record is from RNAcentral.